GAUGAACGCUGGCGGCGUGCCUAAUACAUGCAAGUCGAGCGAACAGAUGAGGAGCUUGCUCCUCUGACGUUAGCGGCGGACGGGUGGGUAACACGUGGAUAACCUACCUAUAAGACUGGGAUAACUUCGGGAAACCGGAGCUAAUACCGGAUAAUAUAUUGAACCGCAUGGUUCAAUAGUGAAAGACGGUUUUGCUGUCACUUAUAGAUGGAUCCGCGCCGCAUUAGCUAGUUGGUAAGGUAACGGCUUACCAAGGCAACGAUGCGUAGCCGACCUGAGAGGGUGAUCGGCCACACUGGAACUGAGACACGGUCCAGACUCCUACGGGAGGCAGCAGUAGGGAAUCUUCCGCAAAGGGCGAAAGCCUGACGGAGCAACGCCGCGUGAGUGAUGAAGGUCUUCGGAUCGUAAAACUCUGUUAUUAGGGAAGAACAAAUGUGUAAGUAACUAUGCACGUCUUGACGGUACCUAAUCAGAAAGCCACGGCUAACUACGUG
RNAcentral lists this ribosomal RNA (497 nucleotides) under uncultured bacterium. RNAcentral describes it as "partial 16S ribosomal RNA". It matches the Rfam family "Bacterial small subunit ribosomal RNA", at positions 28 to 507 of the family's 1533-position model. The record is from RNAcentral.